CCCGGAUGAUAUUGGACGCUUGCAUGUGCCCCCAGUCUUGGUCAAGCUCCUGCCUGGAGCACUGCCUCCCCGUAGACCACAGUAUCCUCUGAAGCCAGCACAAGCUGAUGCCAUCACUAAACAAGUUGAAAGCCUACUUGCCAAAGGUGCCCUCAUCAAGUGCACAUCCCCCUGUAACACACCACUUUUCCCUGUUAAAAAGAGAACUGUUAAGGGUCAACCCGACCAGUACCGAAUGGUGCAGGAUCUCCGUGCUGUUAAUGAAGUAACCAUAAAAGACACUGCUAUUGUUCCAAACCCACACACACUCUUGUCCCAGGUUCCACCAACUGCCACAAUAUUCACUGUAGUGGAUCUGGC
Pelobates cultripes (western spadefoot toad) is the source of this 360-nucleotide non-coding RNA. The record is from the annotation of a GenBank genome assembly. NCBI's taxonomy places the organism in Eukaryota, Metazoa, Chordata, Amphibia, Anura, Pelobatidae.